CUCAUUGUUCCUCUGCCAUUAGCCUUGCCUUUGUUUUCCUGACUUCCAACACUCAUCUCAGUUUUAAAGCGAAACUAAAGAUCCUGCAAUUGAAAAUCUUGUUAAGGUGCAAUAUGUUAUACUUGUUAACAGUAAAGACUUAAUUUUGUGUGACCUUGGUCACUGUGGAUUCCAUUCUGGAUGUGAGGGGAAGUCACUGGUGGAUUUUGAGCAGACGAGUCCUAUGAUCUCAUUUAGGUUUAAAAGAAUGACUCAGAUAACUGUAAAGAGGGGCCAGUGAUGAAAACUUAAACGAGGCGCCGACAACAAAAACUGAGACGAGUUAGGAAUCUGCCAAAAUAACCCCAGCAAGAAAUGAUGAUGGCUUGCACUAGAGUGUUAGCAGAACUGUUGGUGAGAAGCAGUUGGAUUUUAGUUUAUUUAGUGCUUUAUAAUUUUCACAGUGUCUCACUCACUUUCUUUUACCAACAGGGCAGGUUUUAUCCCUGGUUAUAAAUAAGAAUUCUCGAGGCUCUGAGAGAUUAUGAAUCUUACACAACGUGACUUAGUAAGGUAGAAUCGAGACAAUGCUAGGUCUUCUGAUUCUCAGUAGUGUUUUUUCCAAGUCGUUAACAUAAAUACUUAAUCUUUAAAAAAAAAGUCUGUUUCAAAUAUUUUAUAUGAUUGAAGAAAGUAAAAUCAUGUACUAGUGACAGAUCAUGGUGGCUCACACCUAUAAUCCCAGCACUUUGGGAGGCCGAGGUAGGAGGAUCGCUUAAGCUAGGAGUUCAAGACCAGUCUGGGCAACAUAGUAAGACCUUGUCUCUACAAAAGAUAAAAAUAAAAAACUUAGUUAGGCGUGGUGGCACGUGCCUGUAGUCCCAACUGCUUAAAUAAUCAUGUACUAGCUUAUAAUACUAUAUUAUUUAUCUCUGCAUAACAAAUUACCACAAAGUUAGUGGCAUAAAACAACACACAUUUAUUAUCUCAAUUUCUAUGGAUCAGCAGUCUAAGCACAGCUUAGCUCGAUCUGCUUAGGGUCUCAGAAGGCUGCAGUCAAGGUUGGGUUGGCCAGGGCUGCAGUCUCAUCUGAGGCUCAACUGCAGACGAAUAAAGGAAUUCUUGAUUGUUUUUGCUAUCUAAGAGAAAGAAUUAAUUCUACUAAGGAAUAGUGCCCUUGUCUUUUUUUCUGUAUUAUCACUCCCUUCUCACCUCAGCUUUAGAUAUAUAAACUUAGCAGUUGGAGUAUAAAUGCUUGUUUAUUCCAUUCUAUAAGAAUCUUGGAAUGCAGACUUUGUGUUUGUGGGUGUUACCCUUAUUUUGCUGCCAUGAGUAAAUAUACUAAUUAGGCUUGUUAGUGGUUAUUUUCCAUUUAGUUUCCUAAUUCUGCUUUAGCUGUUAGUCCACUGUCAGGGUGAUAUUUUGCAGGUUCUUUGGCUGAUGAAUUAAGAAAAUUUGUGGAACCAACCCCUGGGUUCAAAAAACAGAGUGACCCUCAACUGUGAUCUGACUUUCCACUCCUGAAGCCUUUCUGAAUUCUACCCCAGUUUAGUUGAUUGUUAUGAACUAGUCUUUAUUUGUGUGUGGCAUAUAACUGAGGGAAGAUGUCUUUUUUUUCUUUUUUUGAGAUGGAGUCUCGCUCUGUCGCCAAGGCUGGAGUGCAGUGGCACAAUCUUGGCUCACUGCAACCUCUGCCUCCUGGGUUCAAGCAAUUCUCCUGCCUCAGCCUCCUGAGUAGCUGGGAUUACAGGCACGCGCCACCACGCCUGGCUAAUUUUUGUAUUUUUAGUAGAGACGCGGUUUCAUCAUGUUGGCCAGGCUGGUCUUGAACUCCUGACUUCGUGAUCUGCCUGCCUUGGCCUCCCAAAGUGCUGGGAUUACAGGUGUGAACCACCACGCCCACUGGGAAGAUGUCUUUUAAAAGCUUUUGGGUGCUCUCUUCCACAAUUUCUUAUCUUAGGACUUCUGCUUAUAGAAUUGCAAGACUAGAUAAUUCAGACCAACCCUCCCUUGAGGACAGUGCAGGGUGGGGAGUCUGGGAAAAUCUGUUUUGAAGGCAUUGGUGAGCUAAUAAGGUGGUGAAGAAUUCCAGGCCAAAGAGAUUAAAGCCUUUAAAAACCAUUUCCCACUAAAAUGAACCAGGUUGCUGUGUUUGAGGCACAACUUGUAGAAGAUGCACCCUCGGGACAUCUUGUGCCAGAAAACAGAAUCAGUCAGAGACUUCUGAGGGUCAUGUGAAAAUCGUACAGAAGUCAAAAGUGAACUGUUAAGCAUAAAAAGCUAUGACUGAAAUGUAUUAAAACAUAUCAGAUAUAGAAACAUGUAUGAGUUUGUAAUGGUGCUCUUAAAAACUUGUUGGUAAACUCUGGAGGUUGUUAUACUACCAACUUGUUCUUCAAAAUUUAAAGGGAAAGAAUCAUUUUUCUGCCUUUUUCUAAAACAACUAUUUUUCAGGGUAACUGAAUAGUUGAAGGUGGGAGAGUUUUUCUACAUGGAAUAAUUAUAGUUAAUACAUAUAGAAGGAAUGAUGGAAUUUUAAAAACCAACAUUUGUAAUUUCUAAUGAAAUAUCUUGGCAAAAUCAUUAAUAGCUUCCUGAACCAUUAGGUAAAAAGUUGAUAGGAAGCUUUGUAUUGAAUGGAUCAGGCUGAUAACACUAGAAUCUACUAGUUAAUCUUAACUUCACUAGAAGUGAGACAAGCAGACAUUAUGUUCUACUACCCAGUGUGAUGAAAUUGGAAGGGUGUAACCCUCUCCUUAUAAUGUAAUCAUGCCAAAGAAAAGUGAACAGGGAUAAGUGAGUAUUUUUGAUGACACAAAGAAGGCACAAUAAACCAAAUCGAGGGUGUUGAAAAUUCUGUAAGACAAAAAUCCGUGUAAGUAAGCGAAAGACAUGAAAAUGAAGAAAGGAGAGGGAGAACUGUUAUAAAUUAAGAGAUUUAAGAAUCAUAUCCUUCCAUUUCUUCAAGUCAUACAUGGUGGCCUGCCAACACUAUACUCUUCUGUAAGGUGUUUCACGCAAUACGGCUGUCCACUUUCUC
RNAcentral lists this long non-coding RNA (3019 nucleotides) under Homo sapiens (human). RNAcentral's name for it is "non-protein coding lnc-SYNM-7:2". Lineage: Eukaryota; Metazoa; Chordata; Mammalia; Primates; Hominidae. The record is from RNAcentral.